Molecule: long non-coding RNA, 2394 nt
Organism: Rhagoletis zephyria (snowberry fruit fly)
Lineage: Eukaryota; Metazoa; Arthropoda; Insecta; Diptera; Tephritidae
Source: RefSeq, a predicted model, not a curated record
CUUAAUUUAUUUACAUAUUUCAUUUUUCACAUCUUGUUUUUGUGUUUUUGUUUUUGUUUUUGUUCUUGCAUUCAUUGGGCAUAUACUCAACUAGAUAUACAAUUAUAUUAUUUCCAUUGCUACAACUAAUUGAAUAAUGGUUAAAUAUUCAAGUAUGUAUGUAUGUAUGUAUUUAUGUAUAUAUGUGGUAGAAAUCGUCAUAAACACCAUUAUUGUUGUUAUUAUCAUAAUUUUUUCAUAAUCAUUAUCACUAAAUUACUAAAUAUUUAUUGUUUAUUAUUAUUAUUAUUAUUAAAAUUAUGAAUCAUCGAGAAUUGAAGUAUAUUAUACACAACAAGCCAUAUCAUUAAUCGUGUUUCAAAAAUUAUACAUGUAUUCAUCCUUUUCAUAUUUUACCUUAUUCUCUACUAUUUUAUUUAAAAAAAACUUUUAGACAUUUCAAUAGUUUAAAUAUAUAAUUACAUAAACAAAUAGAGUAGACAGUAAAGUUGCAGAAAAAAUUACCCAAUAUAAACUGCAUAGUAAAAGUAAAUAUUAAUUAUAUUGUAUCUUUGCUUACUGAACAUUUUUUAAAGUUUAAUUUUCUCAUAUAUAUAUAUAUAUAUAUACAUAUAGUGUAUAUAUGUAUGUAUGUAUAGUAUGCAUCGUCUUCAUUAUCAUCUUAAUCAAUUUUGUCGAAUGCACAUACACAUACACAUGUGUGUACGUAUGCAUGUUUAAAUACAGGUAUGUAUGUUUAAAUGUACAUAUAUGUUAGUGUUAAUUAAUGGCUUAGAAUUAGCUACUUUAUGUAUAUUUAUAUGAAUCACAAUUAUUUUUUGUUGUUGUAUCAGUUAUUAUUGAUGUAUGUAAACGUGCAAUACAUACUUCGCAAUAAUUAUAUCAGAUUCUUUUCGUUAGAAGACGAGCCAUUUUGCGUUAAGACAGGCUCCAUAUAUUUAAUGAUUUGUUUUUUUUUUAUAUUAAUUUUAACAUUUUAAAUAAUAGUUUGUGAUACCCAGUUGGUUGCAUUACAAAAAUUAAAAUAUUAUGCAACAUUUUAAGACUUGUUUUACCAGGUUCUACUACUGACUAAUGGUAAUGGCGGAUGGAUGCAUCUUAUAUAAGUUUCCAUUUUGAUUUGCAACAAGAUUGCAUUGCUGUUACUCUCAAAUACUAAGCGCGAUACAUACACAUAAACUUAUUCCUAUACUAUAUACUAUAUACAUGCCUGUGUGUACCUAUGUUGUUAUAGUAGGAUUAAAAGUGGUAAUUUAUUACUUUUUUAGAAUUUGGGAAGUUUUUGCUUUAAAAUGUUCUUAUUUCUUCGUCUCUUCCGGCUAAUCGAUAUCUACUGAACAAAUCGUUGUUGCACUAAAUAAUUGGGAUGAAAUUGAUUUUUCUUUUUUGAUAAUCAUAAAUAACUUGUAACUUGGAGGAAAGCUUUUCGUUAAUUUGUUUACUACAAAACAACUACACAAAAGAUGGUAAAGUGUCCAAAGAUGAGUGCACCAAUCGAUUAAUGGUUAGAGUUUGACGAUAUACAUAUGUAUGUACACAUAAGUACAUACACUGGCGACAUAUUAUUUAAAUGGUGCUAGGUAUUACAUACAUAUGUAGCUAUCAAUAUGUAUAUUAAUUUUCUGUAUUUAUCUUUCUAUUUCUUUUUUUUUGUAUUCAAUUCAACACAGAAAUAUUCUUCUUCACGCAUUUUGGAAUCGUUUAAUAAUAAUUUCCAACAGAAUUUUCAUAACGGAAUAACCAUGGUAUGCUUUUGAAAGAAGACACUAUAUUCUGACCAUUUUCGGCGGACAAAAAAAAAUUAUAUUCCAGCACCUCUGAGUCUUGUGUUGUUUGCACUCGUAGGUCAGACGUAAUAGAAAAAAGCUUUGUUCAACGAAAAUGGAUUUCACAUACAUUUACCCACAUGCAUGCAUCUUAGUUAUUCUAUUCCAUAGAAAAUUUUUGAAUUUGUUGGAGUGUGCAAACUAUUUUCCUAAGGUAUAAAUUACUAUUCGUACUUUGUGAUCAUAAAUACAUGGAAUUUAGUUUAUUUUCAAAUCGGGCUAUAAAUAUUGUGUGUUUGAAUGUCGUGGUGGUGAACAGUUAUAGAGAGGUUCGACUUAAAUCAGGCGUUCGAACUGCCCGAUUCUAUUCUUUGUCAAGAUAAAAUAGAUACAAGUGCAGCUUAAUAUUAAUAACAUAUAAUAUUAAUAUAUUAUUUAUAUUAUAUAUAAAAUAUAUGACAAUUUGUCUGUAUGUAAAUGUGGACGUGGGUUGUGCUUAGGGACCAUCUUUUUUCAGGGUAUAUGUAAAUUGAAAAGAAAUGUAUGUCAUUUUAUUAAUUUGCCGACAGCAGUUACUAAAUAUAAGUAUGUUUGUGAAUUUAAUUUCAAUGGGUCGAUUUAAUAAAUC